GUUGCCUCCAGAAUAACUAAACGGUGAUUAAAAAUACGAUGCCGUUUGGUUCAGACAGGGGCACACAGUAAGUAAUCCGAAUCCGUUUGAGGGAAAGGAACGCCUUUCUUAGGCUCUUCAUGUUCCUUUCCUAUACAGCUUCUGAGCUUCGGAUAUAU
This is a small nucleolar RNA of Corylus avellana, 158 nucleotides long. RefSeq annotates it as small nucleolar RNA snoR138. The record is from RefSeq and is a predicted model, not a curated record. Lineage: Eukaryota; Viridiplantae; Streptophyta; Magnoliopsida; Fagales; Betulaceae.